AAACAGCGGCCGUGCUCUGUGCACGGACACUAGUGCUGUGAGGGCUGCAGCUGCUCGGACCACAGCUGUCUCAGUGGCACCAGCAUCCUGGGCAAUGCCACAGCAGCAGGCCCUGCAGGUCACGCUAAGACAGGGGCACCCUCGACCAAUCUCAGUCCACCCACCCCAGGAGCCGCCUGGCUAUGCCUGCCAGAUAAGCAAGAACCACAGUCCAGCCCUUCUCAGCGUCCCCUGCUCUGACCCCUUCUCCACCAUCUCUAGCUCUCAAGUCCCCCGGGGCUGAGCCUCUACCUAGAAGCUCUCCCCGCCCCGUGCAGCUCCCACCACGCCCACCUCCACAGCCCGUCUAAAACGUAAACCUCACCACAUCACCCCACCCGACAGCCCCUGCUGCGGCAGCAACAGUCAAAGGAGGCUGCACCGCGUGGCUCCUCCAGGGCCCUCUGCCCACCUUCCCUGACACCCUCCGCUCAAUCCCCCAAAUGCCCCAUCAUCCGCCUGCCUAUUCUCUCCCACUUAAGGUGCAGACCCUGUCCCAUGGGCCUCUUCCCAGCAUAUGAGCCAGCUUCAAGACUCACCAAACAGCAGCUUCCGGAGCCAGACUUGGCUCAGAACUCCCAGCAGUGUGGUGUACACCGUUCUCACAAAGGUGUGUGACAACCAUGAGGCGAAGGCCAUACCUGGAACACGAGGCCCUUGCUGUACAAAGAGUCCAGGACGGGCUGCAGAGAGAAGUGACUCAGGCGCGUGUAGCAGGUCCCAUACUCGGCCACUUCCGAGAGCAGGCUGCUGAUGCUCUCAGGAGACGCUCCUGACACGUGGACGCCCCGCUUCACCACAAAGGCCUGGGCUGGCUGCACAGGGGCAGAGGACACCAGUCACAGAGGCCAGGCACCCAGACCCCCAGUAAGUGCCCAGCAAGAGGGUUGGCUAAACGGCAGCUGGUGCCAGAACCAGCAAGUGCCGGCCCCAUCCCAGAUGACACCGCGGUCCAGUGAGAAGAGCAGCGCAGACCCCAAUCUCGGGACGCUCUUGGCAGGCAGGUGCUCCUGCCAGCGGUGGGAAGGCUCAGAACGCGCCUGGCACUUCUCCAGGACGGAAAUGGCAACGGGGGGAGGAACAUUUUCUAUCACUUUGCCGACAGCAAUAAACAUGUUAUUUCUCUGCAGCUUUUUAAAAGGACAUUA
Long non-coding RNA from Symphalangus syndactylus (siamang), 1187 nucleotides. RefSeq lists it as uncharacterized. The record is from RefSeq and is a predicted model, not a curated record. NCBI's taxonomy places the organism in Eukaryota, Metazoa, Chordata, Mammalia, Primates, Hylobatidae.